RNAcentral lists this ribosomal RNA (393 nucleotides) under uncultured bacterium. RNAcentral's name for it is "partial 16S ribosomal RNA". It matches the Rfam family "Bacterial small subunit ribosomal RNA", at positions 523 to 918 of the family's 1533-position model. The record is from RNAcentral.
AUACGGAGGACGCGAGCGUUAUCCGGAUUCAUUGGGUUUAAAGGGUGCGCAGGCGGCCGUGCAAGUCAGCGGUGAAAGCCCGGGGCUCAACCCCGGAAGUGCCGUUGAUACUGCAUGGCUGGAAUGCGGUCGAGGCGGGCGGGACGUGGCGUGUAGCGGGGGAAUGCGGAGAAAUGCCCCAGAACGCCGAUAGCGGAGGCAGCUCGCCAGGCCUGCAUUGACGCUCGGGCACGAAAGCGUGGGGAUCGAACAGGAUUAGAUACCCUGGUAGUCCACGCCGUAAACGAUGGGCGCUCGUCGUCGGCGGCAGACAGUCGGCGGCCAAGCGAAAGCGAUAAGCGCCCCACCUGGGGAGUACGGUCGCAAGGCUGAAACUCAAAUGAAUUGACGGGG